RNAcentral lists this long non-coding RNA (1068 nucleotides) under Panax ginseng (ginseng). RNAcentral's name for it is "long non-coding RNA (PGIN_LNC017396)". The record is from RNAcentral. Lineage: Eukaryota; Viridiplantae; Streptophyta; Magnoliopsida; Apiales; Araliaceae.
GAUUGGUGUAUUCGAUGAAUAAGAAAUGUUUUAUAUUUCGUCGUGUAACAGAAGAAAUUGUUCUAAUGUUGAUGAUUUACCCUCCAUAAACAGCUCUCAUGUCCAUAACGUUUCUCACAUUGGACCAGCUGAUGCCUAAUCCACUGAGGUACGACUUGCUCACAACCCUUUGCCAAUGUUCAUAAUCUGCUGCAAAAUCAUCAGGAGUAGGUUUCCCGUAAAUUCCCAUCUGGGAUCUGUUUAACCAGUAUGGAGUUUCCUGGAGGCGACGAUGCCAUUCCUGAGGCCAUUGGGAACCUCUCUCAGCCUCAUUGACUGGCACCUUGUGCAUGCAUGACUGCAAGGGCACAUACCUGAAAGAUAAAUUCCCAAAAAAUAACAUUUGUCAACCAUAAGCAGUUCAAGUUUAAACCAAUUUGAAUUCAUGGUUAGUAUAUUUGAUCUCCUCUCCAUUUAGUUUAAGAUAUAAGUUGAUAGAAUAUAGAGAAUCCUACCAGGCAGCAUUUGGAUCAUCAUCAUUUUUACACAUUGGAGGUUGCUUACGGUUUCUUUUUUCAUAGCAUUCAUUUGAGUCUGGUUUGUGGUAGAUGGCUGCACCAAUCGAAUUUAAUUUAUCCUUCUUGAUGGUAACAAGCUCCCAACACAUGGAUAUUGUUAAGGAAGACAUUUCUGAAAUUAAGAGAUUAAUGUUGUUAAACCCCAAGGCACUCGAGCAAAAAACCAUAUACACUAACACUAGUGCUAUAAAUUUAUAAAUGCUACUACAGUCGUAUCAUUUUAUCCACAUCCACAAACAUUAAAGACAUUUAUGUUCCUACCAUUCCAUAUCUGCACAUCUUCUUCAAGCUUCUGGUACACAGGAGUUGCUGACCAGACAAAAUAACCUCCAGGUCGAAGCAUUCGGUUUAACUCCAAGAGAAGAGUACCACCUUGAGCACAAAAAUUAAAUGUUAAAAGUGCUGAACCGGAGUAAAAAUGCCAAAACAUGGAAAUCUGCACAAAGAUCGAUGGAACCUUCAACAUGCCAAGGAACUCUACAGCGUGCACAGUGGAUAAGGUCAAAGACCC